Molecule: long non-coding RNA, 2628 nt
Filed under: Homarus americanus (American lobster)
Lineage: Eukaryota; Metazoa; Arthropoda; Malacostraca; Decapoda; Nephropidae
Description: uncharacterized LOC121878911
Source: RNAcentral
AAUGGACAUCUAAGACAUACAAUCUCUGAAAAUGAAUUGCUGGAAGCACCCUCUGUACAUGUAAGGACCACCAAUUGUGAGUAAAGCACAGAGUAAAUUGUGUAGUGUUAACACAGUGUCAAGAUAAUUGAAAAAGACAGUGAAUUCUUGUGAGUACAGAAAAUCCGCUUUGUGUUAAUCAUCCGUGAAAGCUACAGAGUUAUAUUUUCUUGAGACAUUCUCGUCAAGUAUCAUCAAGUAUUUUAUUUUGAGCAUUGCUAUGAGUACUUUGUGAAUUGAAAGUUUGUAUUGUCCUCUUUAGAGAUACUUAAUUUUCUGAGUGAGUCACCGAUACUACUGCCGAUUAUUUAUUUUGCCAUAGUAUUGAGUGGGUUGAGGACUCUGUGGUGAAAUGGACAUCUAAGACAUACAAUCUCUGAAAAUGAAUUGCUGGAAGCACCCUCUGUACAUGUAAGGACCACCAAUUGUGAGUAAAGCACAGAGUAAAUUGUGUAGUGUUAACACAGUGUCAAGAUAAUUGAAAAAGACAGUGAAUUCUUGUGAGUACAGAAAAUCCGCUUUGUGUUAAUCAUCCGUGAAAGCUACAGAGUUAUAUUUUCUUGAGACAUUCUCGUCAAGUAUCAUCAAGUAUUUUAUUUUGAGCAUUGUUAUGAGUACUUUGUGAAUUGAAAGUUUGUAUUGUCCUCUUUAGAGAUACUUAAUUUUCUGAGUGAGUCACCGAUACUACUGCCGAUUAUUUAUUUUGCCAUAGUAUUGAGUGGGUUGAGGACUCUGUGGUGAAAUGGACAUCUAAGACAUACAAUCUCUGAAAAUGAAUUGCUGGAAGCACCCUCUGUACAUGUAAGGACCACCAAUUGUGAGUAAAGCACAGAGUAAAUUGUGUAGUGUUAACACAGUGUCAAGAUAAUUGAAAAAGACAGUGAAUUCUUGUGAGUACAGAAAAUCCGCUUUGUGUUAAUCAUCCGUGAAAGCUACAGAGUUAUAUUUUCUUGAGACAUUCUCGUCAAGUAUCAUCAAGUAUUUUAUUUUGAGCAUUGCUAUGAGUACUUUGUGAAUUGAAAGUUUGUAUUGUCCUCUUUAGAGAUACUUAAUUUUCUGAGUGAGUCACCGAUACUACUGUCGAUUAUUUAUUUUGCCAUAGUAUUGAGUGGGUUGAGGACUCUGUGGUGAAAUGGACAUCUAAGACAUACAAUCUCUGAAAAUGAAUUGCUGGAAGCACCCUCUGUACAUGUAAGGACCACCAAUUGUGAGUAAAGCACAGAGUAAAUUGUGUAGUGUUAACACAGUGUCAAGAUAAUUGAAAAAGACAGUGAAUUCUUGUGAGUACAGAAAAUCCGCUUUGUGUUAAUCAUCCGUGAAAGCUACAGAGUUAUAUUUUCUUGAGACAUUCUCGUCAAGUAUCAUCAAGUAUUUUAUUUUGAGAAUUGCUAUGAGUACUUUGUGAAUUGAAAGUUUGUAUUGUCCUCUUUAGAGAUACUUAAUUUUCUGAGUGAGUCACCGAUACUACUGCCGAUUAUUUAUUUUGGUGAGUAUCCAUUUAAGAAGUAUCCGAGGCAUUUAUGUGUCAAUGUUUACCCCCUUUGCUCUGGAAGGGUGUUAAUUGAAUUUAUCUUUGGUGGGGUUGUUUUGUAGAAGAUUUGUUGUGACAUCAGCGCACGAUGAUCACAGUAGUUGUGAAUAAGUUACAACUUAUGUGUGAGUUCCGACAAUAUCUUUGUCAGACAUGUCCGUGAACCCCAACAAUACCUUGAACUUUUCAUUCACCUCGCCCAAGGUCUUGAACCUCUCAUUAAGAGAGGAAAUCACAGUAUCCACUACCACAUUGAAAAAUGUAGUCUCCAUCCUCUUGAGUACAUCGCUGACAGGUUCGUCUGCACACUCAUAGCUAAAGUGACAUUUUUUAGUUCUUAGUCUUCUGUUUCAGCACCGUGUCUAUGCUCAUCGCUUCACAGAUUUCUUUAGCAAUAGUUAGUGCAUCAGCAAAACCUGUAUUUCUGUAGCUGACAAUAUCAUCUCUGGUCUUUUUGAGCAGAUCUACAGCCACGCCGAGCUGUAUCGUAGUCGACUGCAUUAGUUUGCUCACGUGCUGAAUUUUUCUGAGUAUAUCAUACCACACAACUGAACAAAUGACAAAACGGUAUGACCCUACUUCCUCUGCCAACGAUUAAGCCUCAACUUUGACGACAGGGUCAGUUGCAGAUUCUCUGUGCUCCAAAAGCGCUUCUUUGAGUUGCGGAGGUUGAUAUCUAAUUGCCUCCACACUUUUUACUCGGCUUUCCCAUCUGACGUCUGACCACGAUUUCAGAGUAAUAUUAACAUGUUUUAAAAGAACUUGCCACCUCUGAGGAGAGGCUGAAAACAAUGUGAAUACUUUCGUUAAAUAUCCAAAGUAACAAGUUGCAUUUAGGGAGCUCUUGGCAGCGUCACCUAAUAUAAAAUUCAAAUUAUGGGCACCACAAGGGACAAAUAAGGGCCGAGAAUUCUGUUGAAGAAGCCUGGCUUGAACUCCUUUGAUGUUUCCUCUCAUAUUUGCUUCAUUGUCGUAGGAUUGACCUCGAUAAUCCUCAAAAGAAAUGUUCAUUUGUUUGUCUUCCGAGUAGAAUUCAUGACAAAUUUAGCCCUGUAGAC